Molecule: small nuclear RNA, 95 nt
Organism: Otolemur garnettii (small-eared galago)
Lineage: Eukaryota; Metazoa; Chordata; Mammalia; Primates; Galagidae
Source: Ensembl
GUGCUCGCACAUAUACUAAAAUAGGGACGAUACAGAGAUUAGCAUGGCCCCUGUGCAAGGAUGGUGUGUAAUUUCAUGAAGCGUUCCAAACUUUU